CCUGUGCAGUAGUGCGGAGUCCAUGACGAAUUUUGGUCAAAUUCACAGGUUUUGGGGUGUUUCUAUCAUGGGAAAUUAAUUCCUAAUCAUCCUAAGACAUCAUUUAACUAAUCUUUAAUUUAAAAAUUGCUAGGAAUUGAAGCUAGAAGUUGCAGUUAAGGAAAACAGACACUCACCUAAGCUGUAAUACGUGCAGCUGCCGCAGAGGAAAAAUGCUUAUGUUUUGGAGUUGUUGUGCUAUUCUGGGCAUCUAAAAUGAUUACGGAAGAUGAUAAGAAGCUGGGGAAGACAGAUACGAAUCAUUAAAAGGGAAAGAAACUCACCUAGACAUGGAAAGAAGUUGGGUUCUCUCGGUAGAGGCAUAUCCCACACACUUUUUUUUUUUUAUACUUUUUUCUAGUUUU
Molecule: long non-coding RNA, 404 nt
Filed under: Carica papaya (papaya)
Lineage: Eukaryota; Viridiplantae; Streptophyta; Magnoliopsida; Brassicales; Caricaceae
Description: long non-coding RNA (CPAP_LNC006842)
Source: RNAcentral